Molecule: ribosomal RNA, 98 nt
Filed under: Nannospalax galili (Upper Galilee mountains blind mole rat)
Lineage: Eukaryota; Metazoa; Chordata; Mammalia; Rodentia; Spalacidae
Source: RNAcentral
UUGUAUGUCCAUACUAUGUUGAAUGUAUCAGAUCUUGUCUGAUCUGGGAAGUUAAGCAGGGUCAGGCCUGCUUAGUACUUGGAUGGGGGAAAUAUAUC